Molecule: long non-coding RNA, 3526 nt
Filed under: Olea europaea subsp. europaea
Lineage: Eukaryota; Viridiplantae; Streptophyta; Magnoliopsida; Lamiales; Oleaceae
Source: RNAcentral
CGAUAGCUUGCAUCACCCUCCGGCCGCGGGGAUUAUCUCCAUCUGGUAGGGUUUCUUCCAAAUGUAUUUUGAUUUCGUUUCAAAAUGAUGCCGUAUUUUGUUCAAUACAAUUCCUUAUUGUCAUUUCUUCGUCAUUAAUCAAUUCUGUGCUUACUUUGGUCCAAAAAGAUCGAUUAAAUACUACAAUAAAAAUAUUAAUAAUUGAAAUUCAUUUUAUUUCCAAUCGAUAAUUGAAAAUUAUCAUUUCCCUCCGGGGAAAACCUACCUCAUUUGCCCCAAUUUUCCCAUUCCAUUCCCUUCUUUGGCAGCAUGUAUUACAUCCGUUGUCUUGCCCAUCCUUUCCGACGUCAGACGGCCGGCCGCACUAUUAGAUUUCACAGUAAGCUACUAGAGUUGUGAAGGGCAUUUCUGUUGCCAGCCAUUUAAAUUCGAACGAGGAAGCCACAAGCUUUGCUAAAAUUUGAAAGCUAUUGAAGGCAUCUCUCUGCAAAUGGUAAACUACUGGAGUCGUGAAGGGCAUUUCUGUUGCCAGCCAUAAAAAUUAGAACGAGGAAGCCACAAGUUUUGCUAAAAUUUGCCUGUUAUUAAAGGUAUCUCUCUGCAAAGUCUCGGUUUGUUCAAAGGCUUCGACCCGAAUAUCAGCUGUAUCAACUAAAUUCACUCAUGCACAUGUUAUCACAUGUUAUUAGAUGUUUCAUUAGGCAAAUCCUGAAUAUUGAGAAUAAAAUAGAUGAAAUUGAACGUCACUGUGAAUUUUUAUUUUUCUCCUUUAAAUCAGUAUGGUGAUCAGAACUAAGAUAUGCCCUUUUGUUCAAUGCCUAACCUCGUAGCAGCGGUUCAAAUUCUGUUGCCAGUCAUAAAAAUUAUCAAACAACAUUUUAGUUGCUGUUUCAUGCUGCAGUUCGGAACAUUCUAGUUUUGUUUUAGUUGGAUAUUCAAUAGACAUGUUACAUGCUUUGAUAUCUAAGUUUCAAAUGGUUAUUGUGAACUAGCAAAAUAAAAGGUGGGUAAUGGAAGAGCAUAACAGUACAAGAAGCAAAAUUUGGUGUUGCUCGGUUGAACUUGAUGUGAUAGGGAAAGUAGGAUAAAUUGUACUCACAUUUGAAAUGUAAUAUUUACUACAUUAGGUGAUUCUUUGUUUUGUAAGUAUAUAUGAAUUGUUAAACUAAAAUUACAUUUUAUUGUGGAAUUGGUGUAUGUGAUGACUAACAUUAAGCUUAUUUUCUUGCAACGUAGGAAAUUAGAGAAAAUGUGACUGAAGAACUUGUUUCGGAGUUCGAUACUGACAAUGUUGCAGAGAAUGUGAUCAGGGUUGAAGAAGAAACAUUAGGACACAAUGGGCCGAUUGUACUUGAGGUGAGCAUGAUUUCAACAAUGAUAAGGAAUUGUUCGAUUUCUACAAGAGAUAUACUUGUAAUGUUGGUUUUCCAGUUCGAAAAAGGGGGACGAUGCACUGUUGAAAUAUGUGAUUUUGACAUGUAGUCGUGAAGGUAGAAAAACAAGUAAUGCAAACGGCUCUUUAAAUCAACAACCAAUCAAUCAGACAGAUUGUAAAGCAAUGAUCUUUGCUUCUUCAGAUAAUAAUGGAAUGUGGAGAAUUAACAUAGUCCAUCUUGACCAUAACCAUCGAACUAGCCCUUACAAGUCUAGGUUGUAUCAAUGCAAUAGAGAGUUGAGGGCAACUGUGAAAUGAAAACUUGAAGUGAAAGAUUUGGCAGGAAUUUCGUUGCACAAAAGUUUCAAUUCUGCAGUUGUUGAAGUAGGGAGAUAUGAAAAUAUGACAUGUGUGGAAAAGGAUCGUCGCAAUUAUAUUGAACAAGUAAGGCGAUUGUGACUUGGAGAAGGAGAUGUGACCGUAAUACAAUGUUAUUUUUCGAAAAUGCAAGCAUGAUGCUCGAGUUUUUACUUUAGUAUGGAUUUAGAUGACGAGUCUUGCCUGAAGAACGUGUUUUGGUCUGAUAAUAAGUGUAGGUAGGCAUACAUGGAGUUUGAUGAUAUUGUUACAUUCAAUACCACUUAUCUCACUAACAAAUAUAACAUGCCAUUCGUACCUUUUGUUGGCGUGAAUGCUCACGGUCAAUCAACUAGUUGGUUGUGAAUUGUUAUCGAAUGAGGACACAGAUACCUUUGUGUAGCUGUUAAGACAUGGCUUCAGUGCACGCACGGUAGAGCUCCUCAUGGAAUAAUUACUGAUCAAGAUACAAAGAAUAGGUAGUGUUUGUGGCACAGUUUGAAAAAAUUGUUGGAGAAGUUCGAAUGCCAUGUUCAUAAGGCAUGCAUAUUUGAGGCUAUACAUAGUUUGGUGUAUGAUUUGCAGAAUAUUGAAGAGUUUGAAGCAUGUUGCAAAGAGAUGAUCGAAACAUAUGACUUGAUGGAUAAUGAAUACAUGUCUAUUGAAGAAUUUGAAGCAUAUUUAAGACUAUACUAUGUUGCAUGCAUCUGAUGUCUAUUAUGCCUUUCAUUUAAGAGCACAACUUUUUGCCAUUUUGUGUGUCAGUAACCAUUCUGGGGAUAAUCUGCUCUUUCAUAUUAGCAUGGAUGGAUUACUUUUUGGAAUAAUGUAGCAUGUUAUCGUUGUUGCAUUAAACGAUUGUCUUUGCCAGGUGGGUGCCUUCAGGAAAUUAUGCUAUCUACAAGAAGCUUUCCUGUUAGCUAUUUGUGGCAUGUUUGUUUAAAGAGUGGGUUACUAGGUAGAUCAAUUCUUAUUUAAAAGAGUGGUGUGGUCAGGAUGUCCACUGUGGUGGGGGAGGGGAGAUAGUCUGGAUUUUUUCCCCCGUCAUUCUAAUGAUCUUAGCAAAGCAUCUUAUUAUAUAUUAAUGUUGUAAUAAAGAAAGUUAACAAAAGUUAGAAGAGAAGACGAAGUGAAUACAUGUUCAAUCAUGCAAGUGCGUAGAGUGUGUGUACAUACAGGAUUGAGAAAGACAAAUCUAUAAUGGGGGUUUGAAGUUCAUAGUGAUAGGCUUAUGUGAGUUCAAGGGACAAAGUGAGAAUUCUGCUGGACAUUUUGAAAUUGAAAAUUUUUUAUACUUUGAUAGACAUUUUUGUUUCAUCCUUGGAGCAAUAAACUUAGGAUUCUCAAGUUAAAGUAACCAAAAGUUGCUGAAAUGAAGCAAUCUGAUGCCAACUUUUAACUGAUGUGUAGAUGUAGCAUCUAAGUUUUUUAGUUUUACUUAUAUUAGCACUUCCUUCCCACUAUUUUUGUAGUCUAUUACAGAGUCUCUGCAAAUUACAAGUGAAGUGGUUAAUAUCUUUCAUGAAACACAUUUCUUUGACAUUUUGUUUUAAAAUUUGUAUUUAGAAGACGGUCAUUCUUUGUGCUGCAGAAAGAAAUUCAGAUUAGGCCAUGCUUGUGGAAUGGAAACCAGCAACCUUGUUACUUGUCUGUCUCCAUUCUCUUUGUUGUAAAGUGCCUCUCGUGAUAUAGCAUUGAGUACGCUCUCUAAGAUGGCUUUUUUUGAGUGCAAGGGCAACUGAUAGAGCUACGAAUGUAAUUUCAAAUCGAGUGGGAGAGGAAGUGGAGAGAUAN